RNAcentral lists this transfer RNA (65 nucleotides) under Planicapritermes planiceps. RNAcentral describes it as "tRNA-Glu". It matches the Rfam family "tRNA". Rfam says of the family: Transfer RNA (tRNA) molecules are approximately 80 nucleotides in length. Their secondary structure includes four short double-helical elements and three loops (D, anti-codon, and T loops). Further hydrogen bonds mediate the characteristic L-shaped molecular structure. tRNAs have two regions of fundamental functional importance: the anti-codon, which is responsible for specific mRNA codon recognition, and the 3' end, to which the tRNAs corresponding amino acid is attached (by aminoacyl-tRNA synthetases). tRNAs cope with the degeneracy of the genetic code in two manners: having more than one tRNA (with a specific anti-codon) for a particular amino acid; and 'wobble' base-pairing, i.e. permitting non-standard base-pairing at the 3rd anti-codon position. RNAcentral also lists the same sequence under 1 other name. The record is from RNAcentral. Lineage: Eukaryota; Metazoa; Arthropoda; Insecta; Blattodea; Termitidae.
AUUUAUAUAGUUUAAAAAAAACAUUACAUUUUCACUGUAAAAAUAAAGAAAAACUUUUAUAAAUA